Molecule: long non-coding RNA, 794 nt
Filed under: Mytilus galloprovincialis (Mediterranean mussel)
Lineage: Eukaryota; Metazoa; Mollusca; Bivalvia; Mytilida; Mytilidae
Source: RNAcentral
GUGAAAGACUAAUAGUUAUAACAAUGAUAUAAACAUGUAUACACGUAUACAGAGAACUAAAUUAAUGCUGUAAGAACCUGCUAACUUUUGAUGGGUUUCGCUGAAAAUCCCUUAUAUUUAAAGGUGCUAAGAACAUGUACACUGUAAAAAAUGGAAAAGAAAACAGGGGGGUCUAUGCCACAAUCGCUUGUGGAAUUAUUGCAAAGAACAAACAUUUGUACAGAAACGAAAUUGACAAAUGUGUUAAUUAGCUUUCCUGUUUAUCCUUCCUAAGAAGAUUGAUAUGCUUUUUCAUGUCAAUUCUAAAAUUUGUUGACUUAGACAUAUAUUUCUUUAUAAUUGUGGUAACAAGAACUAGAUAGCCUGUGUCGCUCACCUUGGUCUAUGAAGGACACAGAUGAUUCAUGACAAAAUUGUGUUUGUAGAUCUUACUUUACUGAACAUUCUUGCUACUUACAAUUUUCUCUAUCUAUAAUAGCAGCAACCCAACAACCAGUUGUCCAAUUCAUAUGAAAAUUUUGGAGCAGAUAGAUAUUGACUUGGUCAACAAUUUAACCCUUGGUCAGAUUUGCUCUAAAUGCUUUGGUUUCAGAGUUAUAAGCCAAAAUCUACAUUUUACCCCUAUGUUCUAUUUUUAGCCAUGGCGACCAUUUUGAUUUGUUGGCUGGGUCACCACACACAGUUUUUGAACUAGAUACCUUAAUAAUGAUUGUGGACAAGUUUGGUUAAAUUUGACCCAGUUAUUUCAGAGGAAAAGAUUUUUGUAAAAGAUUACAAAAAUUUAAGAAAAAUUG